RNAcentral lists this ribosomal RNA (429 nucleotides) under Gemmatimonadota bacterium. RNAcentral's name for it is "Gemmatimonadetes bacterium partial 16S ribosomal RNA". It matches the Rfam family "Bacterial small subunit ribosomal RNA", at positions 355 to 776 of the family's 1533-position model. The record is from RNAcentral. Lineage: Bacteria; Pseudomonadati; Gemmatimonadota.
UAGGGAAUCUUCGGCAAUGGACGAAAGUCUGACCGAGCAACGCCGCGUGAGUGAAGAAGGUUUUCGGAUCGUAAAACUCUGUUGUUAGAGAAGAACAAGGACGUUAGUAACUGAACGUCCCCUGACGGUAUCUAACCAGAAAGCCACGGCUAACUACGUGCGAGCAGCCGCGGUAAUACGUAGGUGGCAAGCGUUGUCCGGAUUUAUUGGGCGUAAAGCGAGCGCAGGCGGUUUCUUAAGUCUGAUGUGAAAGCCCCCGGCUCAACCGGGGAGGGUCAUUGGAAACUGGGAGACUUGAGUGCAGAAGAGGAGAGUGGAAUUCCAUGUGUAGCGGUGAAAUGCGUAGAUAUAUGGAGGAACACCAGUGGCGAAGGCGGCUCUCUGGUCUGUAACUGACGCUGAGGCUCGAAAGCGUGGGGAGCAAACAGG